RNAcentral lists this ribosomal RNA (492 nucleotides) under uncultured bacterium. RNAcentral's name for it is "partial 16S ribosomal RNA". It matches the Rfam family "Bacterial small subunit ribosomal RNA", at positions 28 to 504 of the family's 1533-position model. The record is from RNAcentral.
GACGAACGCUGGCGGCGUGCCUAAUACAUGCAAGUAGAACGCUGAAGGAGGAGCUUGCUUCUCUGGAUGAGUUGCGAACGGGUGAGUAACGCGUAGGUAACCUGCCUGGUAGCGGGGGAUAACUAUUGGAAACGAUAGCUAAUACCGCAUAAUAGUAGAUGUUGCAUGACAUUUGCUUAAAAGGUGCAAUUGCAUCACUACCAGAUGGACCUGCGUUGUAUUAGCUAGUUGGUGAGGUAACGGCUCACCAAGGCGACGAUACAUAGCCGACCUGAGAGGGUGAUCGGCCACACUGGGACUGAGACACGGCCCAGACUCCUACGGGAGGCAGCAGUAGGGAAUCUUCGGCAAUGGACGGAAGUCUGACCGAGCAACGCCGCGUGAGUGAAGAAGGUUUUCGGAUCGUAAAGCUCUGUUGUAAGAGAAGAACGAGUGUGAGAGUGGAAAGUUCACACUGUGACGGUAUCUUACCAGAAAGGGACGGCUAACUAC